UACGAAGGGGGCUAGCGUUGCUCGGAAUCACUGGGCGUAAAGGGUGCGUAGGCGGGUCUUUUAAGUCAGGGGUGAAAUCCUGGAGCUCAACUCCAGAACUGCCUUUGAUACUGAAGAUCUUGAGUUCGGGAGAGGUGAGUGGAACUGCGAGUGUAGAGGUGAAAUUCGUAGAUAUUCGCAAGAACACCAGUGGCGAAGGCGGCUCACUGGCCCGAUACUGACGCUGAGGCACGAAAGCGUGGGGAGCAAACAGG
RNAcentral lists this ribosomal RNA (254 nucleotides) under uncultured bacterium. RNAcentral describes it as "partial 16S ribosomal RNA". It matches the Rfam family "Bacterial small subunit ribosomal RNA", at positions 524 to 776 of the family's 1533-position model. The record is from RNAcentral.